CGGUUUUUCGGAUGACUGCCUUGCCUGGUUCACCAAUUACUUUGCAGACAGAGUUCAGUGCGUCAAAUCGGAGGGCAUGCUGUCUGGUCCUCUGGCAGUCUCUAUGGGGGUGCCACAGGGUUCAAUUCUCGGGCCGACUCUUUUCUCUGUGUAUAUCAAUGAUGUUGCUCUUGCUGCGGGCGAUUCCCUGAUCCACCUCUACGCAGACGACACCAUUCUAUAUACCUUCGGCCCGUCUUUGGACACUGUGCUAUCUAACCUCCAAACAAGCUUCAAUGCCAUAAAACACUCCUUCCGUGGCCUCCAACUGCUCUUAAACGCUAGUAAAACCAAAUGCAUGCUUUUCAACCGGUCGCUGCCUGCACCCGCAUGCCCGACUAGCAUCACCACCCUGGAUGGUUCCGACCUAAAAUAUGUGGACGUCUAUAAGUACCUAGGUGUCUGGCUAGACUGCAAACUCUCCUUCCAGACUCAUAUCAAACAUCUCCAAUCGAAAAUCAAAUCAAGAGUCGGCUUUCUAUUCCGCAACAAAGUUGCCAAGCUUACCCUAGUAAAACUGACUAUCCUACCGAUCCUCGACUUCGGCGAUGUCAUCUACAAAAUGGCUUCCAACACUCUACUCAGCAAACUGGAUGCAGUCUAUCACAGUGCCAUCCGUUUCGUCACUAAAGCACCUUAUACCACCCACCACUGCGACUUGUAUGCUCUAGUCGGCUGGCCCUCGCUACAUAUUCGUCGCCAGACCCACUGGCUCCAGGUCAUCUACAAGUCCAUGCUAGGUAAAGCUCCGCCUUAUCUCAGCUCACUGGUCACGAUGGCAACACCCAUCCGUAGCACGCGCUCCAGCAGGUGUAUCUCACUGAUCAUCCCUAAAGCCAACACCUCAUUUGGCCGCCUUUCGUUCCAGUACUCUGCUGCCUGUGACUGGAACGAAUUGCAAAAAUCGCUGAAGUUGGAGACUAUUAUCUCCCUCACCAACUUCAAACAUCAGCUAUCUGAGCAGCUAACCGAUCGCUGCAGCUGUACAUAGUCUAUUGGUAAAUAGCCCACCCUUUUUCACCUACCUCAUCCCCAUACUGUUUUUAUUUAUUUACUUUUCUGCUCUUUUGCACACCAAUAUCUCUACCUGUACAUGACCAUCUGAUCAUUCAUCACUCCAGUGUUAAUCUGCAAAAUUGUAAUUAUUUGCCUACCUCCUCAUGCCUUUUGCACACAUUGUAUAUAGACUCCCCCUUUGGUUUCUACUGUGUUAUUGACUUGUUAAUUGUUUACUCCAUGUGUAACUCUUUGUUGUCUGCUCACACUGCUAUGCUUUAUCUUGGCCAGGUCGCAGUUGCAAAUGAGAACUUGUUCUCAACUAGCCUACCUGGUUAAAUAAAGGUGAAAUAAAAAAAUAUA
This 1398-nucleotide long non-coding RNA is filed under the name Oncorhynchus kisutch (coho salmon). Its description in RNAcentral is "lncRNA (ENSOKIG00005012461.1)". Lineage: Eukaryota; Metazoa; Chordata; Actinopteri; Salmoniformes; Salmonidae. The record is from RNAcentral.